Long non-coding RNA from Eublepharis macularius, 533 nucleotides. RefSeq lists it as uncharacterized. The transcript is spliced from 2 exons. The record is from RefSeq and is a predicted model, not a curated record. NCBI's taxonomy places the organism in Eukaryota, Metazoa, Chordata, Lepidosauria, Squamata, Eublepharidae.
CCAACCACGGGAUAAGGGAAGACCGCUCACAGCGUCAGACUGUCCUGAGCUAACCAACAUGGUGGGGUGCUUGAAGAUAAAUGUGAUGAAUUAAUAUGCCUAUGAAGAAGUGAGUGGACAAAACGGGGAGAAGAUUAUAUGCUGGCAAAAUCUGUAGGUGUGGCUUGACGUGGCUUAUUACAAAGUUACACGUUGAUUUAUGUAGGCGUAUGCUGCAAAGACUGUCAUCUGAUAAAGCCUUGCUGAAUGCUUGUGUGCAUUCUAGAGACUACAAGAUACUAUACUCUGGCAUGUUUAUUUAAGGUGGACUUUAACACAGAUUCCUGCAAGCAUAAGCUGCAGAGAUUGAUACUUAUAUUUCCCUUUAUGUAUUACUGAAUGCCUGUGUACAUUCUGGAGAGUAUAUGAAACUGUCCUUGUAUUUUUCCACCAGUUGGAUAUGUUUACAAUUGUAUUGAUUGAUGUCAUUGACUGUUAGCACUGAAGCACUUCUGCACUUUAUAUGUAUUAUUAAAUGCUUGGUAUUUGGUUUA